ACUAUCUUCUUGAGAAUGUGAAACAGGCAAGCCGUAUUCAAAGAUGGGGGCUCAAGGCAAUGAUGUGCAGCCGCUCAAGUCAAUGAGGUGCAGGCCAAAGGAAAUUCAAACACCACUGUAAAUCUACUUUACCACAUGCACGCACAAACUCCAUAUAUCUCUGUCCUCCUGCAUUAGAGAGAGAGAGAGAGAGAGAAAGACGGGGAGAAGGGAAAGAGAAAUGGGCAAGUGCGAAGGAAAGAGCUCAUGGCCGGAGUUGAAGGGAGCCAACGGUGUAGAUGCAGCGACAAUAAUCGAGAGAGAGAAUCCAACGGUGGAUACAGUGAUCGUGAAAGAAGGGACUCCUGUCACCAGGGAUUUUCGUUGCAACAGGGUUAGGGUUUGGGUUAACACAUAUGGGAUUGUGACACGUGUCCCAACUGCUGGGUAGAGCACUCCCAUCCCAGCAUUCCUCAUCAUAUGGUAAGAAUAAUUGGCCUAAAAUUAGGCUUCUAUCAAUAUGUAAAAUAAUGUAGACGUUCACAUCCAUGUAUGACGAUUAUCACACGAUGACUUAAUGGCAAUGACUCUUUUAUAAGGAGCUUUUCGUA
Amborella trichopoda is the source of this 590-nucleotide non-coding RNA. Lineage: Eukaryota; Viridiplantae; Streptophyta; Magnoliopsida; Amborellales; Amborellaceae. The record is from RefSeq and is a predicted model, not a curated record.